AACGAACGCUGGCGGCAUGCCUAACACAUGCAAGUCGAACGAGACCUUCGGGUCUAGUGGCGCACGGGUGCGUAACGCGUGGGAACCUGCCUUUAGGUUCGGAAUAACUCAGAGAAAUUUGAGCUAAUACCGAAUAAUGUCUUCGGACCAAAGAUUUAUCGCCUUCAGAUGGGCCCGCGUUGGAUUAGCUAGUUGGUGGGGUAAAGGCCUACCAAGGCGACGAUCCAUAGCUGGUCUGAGAGGAUGAUCAGCCACACUGGGACUGAGACACGGCCCAGACUCCUACGGGAGGCAGCAGUGGGGAAUAUUGGACAAUGGGCGAAAGCCUGAUCCAGCAAUGCCGCGUGAGUGAUGAA
Molecule: ribosomal RNA, 356 nt
Filed under: uncultured Porphyrobacter sp.
Lineage: Bacteria; Pseudomonadati; Pseudomonadota; Alphaproteobacteria; Sphingomonadales; Erythrobacteraceae
Description: bacterial SSU rRNA
Rfam family: Bacterial small subunit ribosomal RNA
Source: RNAcentral